CCAACGGCCCUCUUUAGGGCCACAAAUGUAAUAUAAUCCGGCUUG
Molecule: non-coding RNA, 45 nt
Organism: Caenorhabditis elegans
Lineage: Eukaryota; Metazoa; Nematoda; Chromadorea; Rhabditida; Rhabditidae
Source: Rfam